UUAAAUUGUAAAAAAGCGUGGGUU
Molecule: microRNA, 24 nt
Filed under: Bombyx mori (domestic silkworm)
Lineage: Eukaryota; Metazoa; Arthropoda; Insecta; Lepidoptera; Bombycidae
Description: bmo-miR-3247
Source: miRBase by way of RNAcentral